CACAAAACUACCAAGAAGGCCAUAUUUCUUUGGUCAUUUACUUUUUUUUUUCUUUUACUGGAACUAAUUACUAAAAUGCAGCAAGUGUACAAGAUCUUGAAGCCAGGGCAUCAAAUUAUCUGAUCUUGAUCAUUUGUGCAGUUAUGUACUAUACCAAUCUUUGCAAUGUGAAUUUAGUUGAAAAAAUGCAAUUUUUUGCAGUUUUUCUUUUACUAUA
Molecule: long non-coding RNA, 217 nt
Organism: Ipomoea nil (Japanese morning glory)
Lineage: Eukaryota; Viridiplantae; Streptophyta; Magnoliopsida; Solanales; Convolvulaceae
Exons: 2
Source: RefSeq, a predicted model, not a curated record